This 97-nucleotide signal recognition particle RNA is filed under the name Allobosea sp. RNAcentral describes it as "signal recognition particle sRNA small type". It matches the Rfam family "Bacterial small signal recognition particle RNA". Rfam says of the family: The signal recognition particle (SRP) is a universally conserved ribonucleoprotein involved in the co-translational targeting of proteins to membranes. Archaeal SRP consists of a 7S RNA and homologues of the eukaryotic SRP19 and SRP54 proteins. Lineage: Bacteria; Pseudomonadati; Pseudomonadota; Alphaproteobacteria; Hyphomicrobiales; Alloboseaceae. The record is from RNAcentral. RNAcentral also lists the same sequence under 1 other name.
GGGAGGUUGGCGGGGGACGUCUCACUCGCCAACCCGGUCAGGUCCGGAAGGAAGCAGCCGUAACGAGACCGAACGGGUCUUCGUCCAACCUCCUACU